CCUACGGGUGGCAGCAGUGAGGAAUAGUGGUCAAUGGACGAGAGUCUGAACCAGCCAAGUAGCGUGAAGGAUGACUGCCCGAUGGGUUGUAAACUUCGUUUAUAGGGGAAUAAAAUGUUACACGUGUGGGAUUUUGUAUGUACCAUAUGAAUAAGGAUCGGCUAACUCCGUGCCAGCAGCCGCGGUAAUACGGAGGAUCCGAGCGUUAUCCGGAUUUAUUGGGUUUAAAGGGAGCGUAGGUGGAUUGUUAAGUCAGUUUUGUCAGUUUGCGGCUCAACCGGAAAAUUGCCGUUGACACUGGCAGUCUUUAGUACAGUAUAGGUGGUCGUAUUUC
RNAcentral lists this ribosomal RNA (334 nucleotides) under uncultured bacterium. RNAcentral describes it as "partial 16S ribosomal RNA". It matches the Rfam family "Bacterial small subunit ribosomal RNA", at positions 338 to 669 of the family's 1533-position model. The record is from RNAcentral.